RNAcentral lists this ribosomal RNA (497 nucleotides) under uncultured bacterium. RNAcentral's name for it is "partial 16S ribosomal RNA". It matches the Rfam family "Bacterial small subunit ribosomal RNA", at positions 28 to 507 of the family's 1533-position model. The record is from RNAcentral.
GAUGAACGCUGGCGGCGUGCCUAAUACAUGCAAGUCGAGCGAACAGACGAGGAGCUUGCUCCUCUGACGUUAGCGGCGGACGGGUGAGUAACACGUGGAUAACCUACCUAUAAGACUGGGAUAACUUCGGGAAACCGGAGCUAAUACCGGAUAAUAUAUUGAACCGCAUGGUUCAAUAGUGAAAGACGGUUUUGCUGUCACUUAUAGAUGGAUCCGCGCCGCAUUAGCUAGUUGGUAAGGUAACGGCUUACCAAGGCGACGAUGCGUAGCCGACCUGAGAGGGCGAUCGGCCACACUGGAACUGAGACACGGUCCAGACUCCUACGGGAGGCAGCAGUAGGGAAUCUUCCGCAAUGGGCGAAAGCCUGACGGAGCAACGCCGCGUGAGUGAUGAAGGUCUUCGGAUCGUAAAACUCUGUUAUUAGGGAAGAACAAAUGUGUAAGUAACUAUGCACGUCUUGACGGUACCUAAUCAGAAAGCCACGGCUAACUAUGUG